RNAcentral lists this ribosomal RNA (497 nucleotides) under uncultured bacterium. RNAcentral describes it as "partial 16S ribosomal RNA". It matches the Rfam family "Bacterial small subunit ribosomal RNA", at positions 28 to 507 of the family's 1533-position model. The record is from RNAcentral.
GAUGAACGCUGGCGGCGUGCCUAAUACAUGCAAGUCGAGCGAACAGAUAAGGAGCUUGCUCCUUUGACGUUAGCGGCGGACGGGUGAGUAACACGUGGGUAACCUACCUAUAAGUCUGGAAUAACUCCGGGAAACCGGGGCUAAUGCCGGAUAACAUUUAGAACCGCAUGGUUCUAAAGUGAAAGAUGGUUUUGCUAUCACUUAUAGAUGGACCCGCGCCGUAUUAGCUAGUUGGUAAGGUAACGGCUUACCAAGGCAACGAUACGUAGCCGACCUGAGAGGGUGAUCGGCCACACUGGAACUGAGACACGGUCCAGACUCCUACGGGAGGCAGCAGUAGGGAAUCUUCCGCAAAGGGCGAAAGCCUGACGGAGCAACGCCGCGUGAGUGAUGAAGGUCUUCGGAUCGUAAAACUCUGUUAUUAGGGAAGAACAAAUGUGUAAGUAACUGUGCACGUCUUGACGGUACCUAAUCAGAAAGCCACGGCUAACUACGUG